RNAcentral lists this non-coding RNA (21 nucleotides) under Caenorhabditis elegans. Lineage: Eukaryota; Metazoa; Nematoda; Chromadorea; Rhabditida; Rhabditidae. The record is from RNAcentral.
UAACCAAAAUUGGAGAAGUCA